AGGGUGGUUGCCACAGAAACAUCCUCCUGCUGAGUUGGGGAUAUCCGGAAAUGCCCGCUCCGGCUAGGGGGGACCCCAGGUUUCCGUUCCCGUCUUCUCCCUUUUUUUUUUUUUUUUAGGCAAUUGGGGUUAAGUGACUUGCCCAGGGUCACACAGCUAGUAAGUGUCAAGUGUUUGGUCUGAGGCCGGACUUGAACUCAGGUCCUCCUGACUUCAGGGCCGGUGCUCUAUCCACUGCCACCCAGCUGCCCCUCCCGUGUUCUCUUUGUACCGGGUCCUUCCCGGCUGGACCUCUGUCAAGCCGCCUUCUGAAGACUGUUGUUUCCUAAAGGGUACGAUGAUCGGGACAGCCAGCGUCCAGGACUUUCAGUUGAUAAACCAGAUGUUCUCUUCUACUUGGAGAGAGGAGAUACGCCCUGGAUAAUAGAGCAGGAAGUCCUAAGGAGCACCUACCCAGGUGAGUAGAGUCCGUGGGAGUCACUGAGGAAUAGUGAACUAUUCCUUUGAGGAGAUAACC
Molecule: long non-coding RNA, 517 nt
Filed under: Vombatus ursinus (common wombat)
Lineage: Eukaryota; Metazoa; Chordata; Mammalia; Diprotodontia; Vombatidae
Description: lncRNA (ENSVURG00010000011.1)
Source: RNAcentral